UACGGGGGGAGCAAGCGUUGUUCGGAUUUACUGGGCGUAAAGGGCGCGUAGGCGGCCACCGCAAGUCGACUGUGAAAUCUCCGGGCUUAACCCGGAAAGGUCAGCCGAUACUGCGGGGCUAGAGUGCAGAAGGGGCAACUGGAAUUCUCGGUGUAGCGGUGAAAUGCGCAGAUAUGAGGAGGAACACCGGUGGCGAAGGCGGGUCUCUGGGCCGAUACUGACGCUGAGGAGCGAAAGCGUGGGGAGCGAACAGG
This 254-nucleotide ribosomal RNA is filed under the name uncultured bacterium. RNAcentral describes it as "partial 16S ribosomal RNA". It matches the Rfam family "Bacterial small subunit ribosomal RNA", at positions 524 to 776 of the family's 1533-position model. The record is from RNAcentral.